CAACCCCUAAGCACAGCUUAUUGUUGGGCGUCUACGUCUGUAGUGCCUCAAAGACAUUGGCGGAGCGGCAGCAGUCCUCUGAGCGUAGUAAUUCUUUAUCUCGCUUCUGUUAGGCGCUGCCCCCCCGGCCGUAAAACCCCCAAUUUUUUCU
This 151-nucleotide unclassified non-coding RNA is filed under the name Nigrospora aurantiaca. Its description in RNAcentral is "partial internal transcribed spacer 2". Lineage: Eukaryota; Fungi; Ascomycota; Sordariomycetes; Amphisphaeriales; Apiosporaceae. RNAcentral also lists the same sequence under 1 other name. The record is from RNAcentral.